This 542-nucleotide ribosomal RNA is filed under the name Delftia tsuruhatensis. Its description in RNAcentral is "bacterial SSU rRNA". It matches the Rfam family "Bacterial small subunit ribosomal RNA", at positions 88 to 627 of the family's 1533-position model. Lineage: Bacteria; Pseudomonadati; Pseudomonadota; Betaproteobacteria; Burkholderiales; Comamonadaceae. The record is from RNAcentral.
CUGACGAGUGGCGACGGGUGAGUAAUACAUCGGAACGUGCCCAGUCGUGGGGGAUAACUACUCGAAAGAGUAGCUAAUACCGCAUACGAUCUGAGGAUGAAAGCGGGGGACCUUCGGGCCUCGCGCGAUUGGAGCGGCCGAUGGCAGAUUAGGUAGUUGGUGGGAUAAAAGCUUACCAAGCCGACGAUCUGUAGCUGGUCUGAGAGGACGACCAGCCACACUGGGACUGAGACACGGCCCAGACUCCUACGGGAGGCAGCAGUGGGGAAUUUUGGACAAUGGGCGAAAGCCUGAUCCAGCAAUGCCGCGUGCAGGAUGAAGGCCUUCGGGUUGUAAACUGCUUUUGUACGGAACGAAAAAGCUCCUUCUAAUACAGGGGGCCCAUGACGGUACCGUAAGAAUAAGCACCGGCUAACUACGUGCCAGCAGCCGCGGUAAUACGUAGGGUGCGAGCGUUAAUCGGAAUUACUGGGCGUAAAGCGUGCGCAGGCGGUUAUGUAAGACAGAUGUGAAAUCCCCGGGCUCAACCUGGGAACUGCAUU